ACUCCUACGGGAGGCAGCAGUGGGGAAUAUUGCGCAAUGGGCGGAAGCCUGACGCAGCGACGCCGCGUGAGGGAUGACGGCCUUCGGGUUGUAAACCUCUUUCAGCACAGACCAAGCUGGUGAGUGUAUGUGCAGAAGAAGCACCGGCUAACUACGUGCCAGCAGCCGCGGUAAUACGUAGGGUGCUAGCGUUGUCCGGAUUUAUUGGGCGUAAAGGGCUCGUAGGCGGUUUGUCGCGUCGGGUGUGAAAUCCUACUGCUUAACGGUGGGCUUGCAUUCGGUACGGGCAGACUAGAGUGUGGCAGGGGAGACUGGAAUUCCUGGUGUAGCGGUGGAAUGCGCAGAUAUCAGGAGGAACACCGGUGGCGAAGGCGGGUCUCUGGGCCAUUACUGACGCUGAGGAGCGAAAGCGUGGGGAGCGAACAGGAUUAGAUACCCUGGUAGUCCACGCUGUAAACGUUGGGCGCUAGGUGUGGGGACUUUUCCACGGUUUCCGUGCCGUAGCUAACGCAUUAAGCGCCCCGCCUGGGGAGUACGGCCGCAAGGCUAAAACUCAAAGGAAUUGACGGGGGCCCGCACAAGCGGCGGAGCAUGCGGCUUAAUUCGAUGCAACGCGAAGAACCUUACCAGGGCUUGACAUGCACGGUUUACUCGCAGAGAUGCGGGGUCCUUUGGGGCCGUGUGCAGGUGGUGCAUGGUUGUCGUCAGCUCGUGUCGUGAGAUGUUGGGUUAAGUCCCGCAACGAGCGCAACCCUUGUCCUAUGUUGCCAGCACGCAGUGGUGGGGACUCGUGGGAGACUGCCGGGGUCAACUCGGA
Molecule: ribosomal RNA, 817 nt
Filed under: uncultured Actinomycetes bacterium
Lineage: Bacteria; Bacillati; Actinomycetota; Actinomycetes
Description: bacterial SSU rRNA
Rfam family: Bacterial small subunit ribosomal RNA
Source: RNAcentral